Molecule: long non-coding RNA, 632 nt
Filed under: Brassica rapa (field mustard)
Lineage: Eukaryota; Viridiplantae; Streptophyta; Magnoliopsida; Brassicales; Brassicaceae
Description: long non-coding RNA (BRAP_LNC001876)
Source: RNAcentral
UUCUGCACCAGAUCUUUCUACAAUGCUGCAUCGUUUGAUCUCCUUCUCUCUGGAUAAGUUCAUAUCCUUUCGUUCUCACCAAGAUUCAAGCUAUUCGUUGCCAACACUGGAAUUUGAUUUUGAAUCUAUCAACUAAAUUUCCAUGCUUUUGGGUAUCUCAGUCAUCUUUUUGCCCACAAAGAUAAUCACAGGCUUUUUACUGCUUUGGGACUCCAAUGGACUUUUUAUUUGGGCCUUUCUAAUGGAUUCCUAUGUACUUUCUUAUUUAAUGGUUCGCACUGUUCUAAAAUACGGGUUGUUCGGGUCAUUUACGGCAAGCCGUACCUAAUUUAACGAAACGGUCAAAUUAUGAGCUUUACAUAGACUGAUCAUUGAGUUUCUUUCACGAAUUAUACUAUUCAGCAUUAUUUAUGAGUUUUUUUUUUUUUUUUGCUAAAAUAUUUUCUAUUAAAUACGUGAGAAUAAAAAAAUUUACAAAGCCAAGCUUAGUGGCAAAUGCCUUACAAAGAACAAAACCUAAAACUGCAAACAGCACAAAAAGAACCCACUAAAUAUUUAACUUGCCCAAGCUAAUAGUUAGUGAGUAGAUGAGAAGACUGAUGAUUUUGGAAAAGUCAGAGGCCAGAAGCAUA